AGUCCAUGGUGUGGAUAUUUUCGAAACGAAUCUCUAAAUCUUUCCCACGCUUCAUAUAAUGAUCCACCUUCUUGUUGGCUAAAACUAGUAAUGUCCAUUCUAAAUUU
This is a small nucleolar RNA of Coffea eugenioides, 107 nucleotides long. The record is from RefSeq and is a predicted model, not a curated record. Lineage: Eukaryota; Viridiplantae; Streptophyta; Magnoliopsida; Gentianales; Rubiaceae.